GGGAAGACUCCAGAAUCCACUCUGGCUGGAAUCCGGUGGAUACAGCAGUGUUACAGAACAGUUCUCCACAGUCACUGUCCACAUGGGUCAGUGGGACCAAGCAGCACUCUGCUAAUGUGUGGACUCACAGCAACAUCCAGCAAGACCCAGGCAGCGUUUUCUAUCUCCCAGCUGGAGUUUUUUGUUUGUCUGUGACUGGAGAGUCAGAUUUUUGUUGAAGCUGGAGGAACAGAGAGGUUAAUACACUCUACUGAUCCCUGAUGGGAGAAUCUUCACCUCUGCCAACAAAGAAGCCUGGUGGAUAUUUGUUUACAGUCUGAUGAUGGGACAUCAUGCUCUGCAUCUUCAAAUCUUUUUGCAGGAUCAGAAAACAAAACCAGGAGACCUGUAAAUGUUUCUUCUCCAGUUGGAUGAUGAUAAGACUGUGACACGGGAUGCCACCUUUAGUCUUGUGAUGAAGCAAAGCUCAGGACGAAGUGUGAUUAAAUGGUACCCACAUGUGUGCUGCUGAGAAGGAUGUACAGGGGCACCUGCAGCCAAAUCCAAGCCGCCUCAGAGCAGAGCGGCAGUUUGUGCUCACAGAUGGUGACGGUGUGGAGAGACGGUGGUGUUUCCUCAGAAGAACUAGCAGAGUCACCAAGAGCACGAGUCCAUCUCACCACCUUGACUUGUUGAUCAGUGGAUACACUUGUCUCCCCUUUAAAGGAGACACUCUUAGAGAGAGACGAUCAGAGUCAUCCUUAAAUAUGGGCAGGAUAUCACUAUUAGACUGUCUAACCUGCCGGAGCAGCACUGAAUGAUCACCACACAUGAUCAGUUCCUGCAACAUUCAGCAGCUCUGCUUUUGUGUCAAAUGUCCAACAGCUGGAGAGGAAACUACACCAGUGUACUGGGAUGUUUCACCAACACGUGCCAGACGCUGUUCCUUCAUGGUGACAUCACCAGAGACGGCCCCGCCCACCUCAUGACCUCGCCAUUGAUCAUGAUGAUUUUAAUGAUGACAGCGAGCGGAACUAAAACUGUAAAAAUCAGAAUGUUUAGAUGCUUUCUAUUUAUUAAUGAAUACUGAGAGCCUCUUUCUGUGUUUUGUCUGUUUUGUUUUUUUUUACCUCAUUUGUUACUAACAAAGUUCAGCAAACUCAGUUUACAUUCUGUAUGUUUCCAUCUUUACCAGCCACAGUCUACCCGCAAUUAAGAAAAUAAUCCUUAGAAAUUGUCGUUUUUCUCUUUUGUAAUUUUGUAAUUCAGUGAAUAUACUGCGCUGCUUCCUUUAAUUGCGUCUCACAUUGCUUUAAGUUUUUCCAGUGUCCAGUUAUUUUUUACUGUUGUUUGAAUUCUCUGCAUGUUUGACCCUGUAGACUGUUUGAUGGACUGCUUGUCUUCCUGUU
Long non-coding RNA from Oreochromis aureus, 1388 nucleotides. RefSeq lists it as uncharacterized. Lineage: Eukaryota; Metazoa; Chordata; Actinopteri; Cichliformes; Cichlidae. The record is from RefSeq and is a predicted model, not a curated record. The transcript has 7 exons.